GCCAGGCGUUGUGGCGGGCGCCUGUAGUCCCAGCUACUUGGGAGGCUGAGGCAGGAGACUCGCUUGAGCCCAGGAGUUGGAGGUUGCUGUGAGCGUGAUGCCAUGGCACUCUACCCAGGGGGAUAGCUUGAGGCUCCGUCUCAAAAAAAAAAAAAAAGAAAUUUCCAUUCUCUGGUGAAGUUCUCCAUCUUUAUGUCCAUGUUGCCCAUGCUCCCCUACCUUUUUUUUUUUUUGAGACAGAGCCUCAAGCUGUCCCCCUGGGCUGAGUGCCGUGGCAUUACAGCUCACAGCAACCUCCAACUCCUGGGCUCAAGCGAGUCUCCUGCCUCCG
Molecule: non-coding RNA, 331 nt
Organism: Otolemur garnettii (small-eared galago)
Lineage: Eukaryota; Metazoa; Chordata; Mammalia; Primates; Galagidae
Source: Rfam